This 498-nucleotide ribosomal RNA is filed under the name Stilifer akahitode. RNAcentral describes it as "partial 12S ribosomal RNA". Lineage: Eukaryota; Metazoa; Mollusca; Gastropoda; Littorinimorpha; Eulimidae. The record is from RNAcentral.
CUAAUAGGCAAGCUAUAUUGCAUUGUAUAUAAGAUAUAAAAUAAUUGAAGUUCUAGUUACAUUUUUAGGGGGUAAAAUUUUAAAAAUGCUAUAUAACUGUGAUUUUGUUUCUUGAAAUUUUGCUCAAAAACCAGGAUUAGAUACCCUGCUAUUCUAAACUAAAAUUAUAUAUUGGGCACUACAAACCACUGUCUAAAACCCAAAAAACUUGGCGGUGCUUUAAACUAUAGCAGGGGAACUUGUCUCAUGAUCGAAAGUCCACGUUAGACCUAACUUUUUUUACCGGUUUAUGUAUUGUUGUCGCCAGAUAAUUUUUAAGACUAUUAUCUUUAAGCCACUAUGCUAGGACGUCAAAUCAAAAUGUAGCCAAUAAGAAAGCAGAGGUGAGUUACAUUUAAUAGUUUUUUCCGAGAGUAAUGAAAUUUGCUCGUGAAAUAGGACUUGCCUGUAAAACCUCCAAGAUAAGUUUUUUGAAUAAACCCUAAAGCGUGCACAUAU